RNAcentral lists this ribosomal RNA (98 nucleotides) under Kistimonas sp. Lineage: Bacteria; Pseudomonadati; Pseudomonadota; Gammaproteobacteria; Oceanospirillales; Endozoicomonadaceae. The record is from RNAcentral.
CCGGAACCACCUGGUCCCAUCCCGAACCCAGAAGUGAAACGGUGUAUCGCCGAUGGUAGUGUGGGGUCUCCCCAUGUGAGAGUAGGUCACUGCCAGGC